CCUACGGGAGGCAGCAGUGGGGAAUAUUGGGCAAUGGUCGAAAGCCUGACCCAGCAACGCCGCGUGAAGGAAGAAGGCUUUCGGGUUGUAAACUUCUUUUGACAGGGAAGAGCAGAAGACGGUACCUGUCGAAUAAGCCACGGCUAACUACGUGCCAGCAGCCGCGUUAAUACGUAGGUGGCAAGCGUUGUCCGGAUUUACUGGGUGUAAAGGGCGUGUAGCCGGGCUGACAAGUCAGAUGUGAAAUCCGGGGGCUCAACCCCCGAACUGCAUUUGAAACUGUUGGUCUGGAGUAUCGGAGAGGCAGGCGGAAUUCCUAGUGUAGCGGUGAAAUGCGUAGAUAUUAGGAGGAACACCAGUGGCGAAGGCGGCCUGCUGGACGACAACUGACGGUGAGGCGCGAAAGCGUGGGGAGCAAACAGGAUUAGAUACCCUAGUAGUC
RNAcentral lists this ribosomal RNA (442 nucleotides) under uncultured bacterium. RNAcentral describes it as "partial 16S ribosomal RNA". It matches the Rfam family "Bacterial small subunit ribosomal RNA", at positions 338 to 795 of the family's 1533-position model. The record is from RNAcentral.